Long non-coding RNA from Sardina pilchardus (European sardine), 616 nucleotides. RefSeq lists it as uncharacterized. The record is from RefSeq and is a predicted model, not a curated record. The transcript has 3 exons. NCBI's taxonomy places the organism in Eukaryota, Metazoa, Chordata, Actinopteri, Clupeiformes, Clupeidae.
AUUUCACUCCGGAUUAUCCCUUUAAAUCCUAUCUUUUAUUGACAGAGCCCUCACAAAUAAACUGAUACCAGGAAUUAACAUACAGUAGAUGGUGAUGGUGGUGGUGGCAAGGGUGCCUUCACAAGGUGCCAUGUCACAAUCUCAGUGUGGAGCCAAAGGCUGCUAUUGCAAGUCAGAUGGGGGACGAUCGAUGUAAGGCAUCAGAAAGGUGGUAUACUUGAUUUACUGCCGAAGGUACCAUCAGAGCACCACCCUACCCCUGCAGGACCAGAAGAGGACGGACAGGGGGCCAACAUUUUUUAACACUCUGACCAUGGACUAUUUAAACCAUUGAGGUAACGCAGACGUCUGAUCCCACUUGGCUAAAACAGAAGACUGAGGAGGAGUUUCUUUCCUCAUGCCAUUCGCAUCCUGAGCACACAUACUACAUUACAUGGACUUACACACUGCACUAUUUACCCCCUGACUCAUUCCGUGUCAAAUCAGACAAGGUUAUGCUGCACCGUCUCAGGCCAGUAAUAUUUUUUUGUUCAAUCCUAUGUCUUCAUAUUAUAAUGUUUGUAUGGCCUGCUCAAUGAUUUUCAUUGAAAAGUGUUCAUUAAAAGUUCAAAUGGUA